Molecule: ribosomal RNA, 468 nt
Filed under: uncultured bacterium
Lineage: Bacteria
Description: partial 16S ribosomal RNA
Rfam family: Bacterial small subunit ribosomal RNA
Source: RNAcentral
GACGAACGCUGGCGGCGUGCUUAACACAUGCAAGUCGAACGGAAAGGCCCUGCUUUUGUGGGGUGCUCGAGUGGCGAACGGGUGAGUAACACGUGAGUAACCUGCCCUUGACUUUGGGAUAACUUCAGGAAACUGGGGCUAAUACCGGAUAGGAGCUCCUGCUGCAUGGUGGGGGUUGGAAAGUUUCGGCGGUUGGGGAUGGACGCGCGGCUGAUCAGCUUGUUGGUGGGGUAGUGGCUUACCAAGGCUUUGACGGGUAGCCGGCCUGAGAGGGUGACCGGCCACAUUGGGACUGAGAUACGGCCCAGACUCCUACGGGAGGCAGCAGUGGGGAAUAUUGCACAAUGGGCGGAAGCCUGAUGCAGCACCGCCGCGUGCGGGAUGACGGCCUUCGGGUUGUAAACCGCUUUCGCCUGUGACGAAGCGUGAGUGACGGUAAUGGGUAAAGAAGCACCGGCUAACUACGUG